RNAcentral lists this unclassified non-coding RNA (241 nucleotides) under Rhytismatales sp. RNAcentral's name for it is "partial contains 5.8S ribosomal RNA, internal transcribed spacer 2, and large subunit ribosomal RNA". Lineage: Eukaryota; Fungi; Ascomycota; Leotiomycetes; Rhytismatales. RNAcentral also lists the same sequence under 5 other names. The record is from RNAcentral.
AACGCACAUUGCGCCCCUUGGUAUUCCGAGGGGCAUGCCUAUUCGAGCGUCAUUAUCACCCCUCAAGCUUCGGCUUGGUGUUGAGGCCUGCUGUAAAGGCACCCUCUAAAAUCAGUGGCAGUGCUGUCAGGCUCUAAGCGUAGUAAUUUCAUCGCUAUAGGGUCCUGGUGGAUACUCGUCAAAACCCCCCCAUUUUUUAAUGAUUGACCUCGGAUUAGGUAGGGAUACCCGCUGAACUUAA